Schistocerca nitens (vagrant locust) is the source of this 1844-nucleotide long non-coding RNA. RefSeq lists it as uncharacterized. The transcript is spliced from 3 exons. Lineage: Eukaryota; Metazoa; Arthropoda; Insecta; Orthoptera; Acrididae. The record is from RefSeq and is a predicted model, not a curated record.
UCCAUAUUCAUAGCACUUGUCGAUGUUGAUGAUACACAAAAACCGCCACACUGGCGCCCAAACAGGGACCACCAAUGCACAUUUGUUCAUUUAAAUAAAAUAAUAACAUAAAAAUUUUGUAAUUUAUUACAGGUAUAAAUUGCCACAACAACUUAUUAAUUAUUUGUAUGUAUUGUCUUUUCACGAACAUUGACACCUGUCCACCGAGUUGCUGAUACUACUAAUACUAAGAGCUGGUGCGACAGACGAAUCAAAUAGAGCACCACUGACCACUUCAGAGGAGUACAAAGAACACGAGGUUGUAUCAUCACAUUAAGUUCUGUGGACUCUUGUAUAUUUGUUCCUGCAAAGAAAUACAGUUUCCGUUGCUCAGUUUACUUAAAGGACACAUGAGGCUGGAUCAUACAGGAAGAGAAGAAUCCAGUUUGAGAUUCAAAUUGAAAUACUCGUGCAAGUUUCCCGGAUGCAGGAGUAGUUAUUAUGUAAAAACAAAUUCCAAACACAAGAAUAAACAUUUCUAUAAAUUUCCAGCUGCAUCAAAAAGUGAGACUUUAAAGAAGUGUAAAUUGAUCUGUAAUAUAGAUGGUGUCAACUGUAGUUAAUUAUGUGUGUGAGGAUCAUUUUUAGGAAGCAGAUUUUGUGAACUUUACCAGACACAGGCUAAAUCCUGGUGUUAUACCAAAACACAUGGAAUUGGUGUUGUAUCGCCCUCACCCCACCCAUCUGUGUUACACUGGUGGUGGUGGUGGUGGUGGCGGUUUCACCACAUCGGGUGCAAAUAUAAGUGUGCACGAGACAGGUCACAAUGCAAAAUCUACAGUAAUACAACGAAGCAGUCCCCCUUUACAGAGCACAGAUGAUGGUGAGUACAGCUUUUUAUCCUCACCUGUUUAUGAUGUUGAAAGUAGUCCAGGUGUAAUGGGAUCUGACGUUUUUAAACGUGAUUUAACUCCAAGAAAACACAAAAUGUAUAAACUGCAUAGAAUUACAGUUUCCAGAGUUUGUAAAUUGAAAAAACAGCCACAGAAUGAGAGGAAUAAAUUGAAAAUUCUAAAAAGAGUUGUAUGAUGACAGGAAAUUUCAGUUAAUUGAAGAAGAGUUGAAUGAUGUGACUAAAACUUUUAUUAAUUGUCAGUUAAGAAAUGCCAAUAUGCAGCCCACAGCAGUACGGUGGUCUAUACAAGAUAAGGCAUUUGCUUUAUCUAUUUAUAAGCGUAGUCCCCGGUGGUACAGAUAUUUGGCCACAUACUUCUCCCUUCCAUCUGUCAGGGUGCUCAAGGGAGUGCUUUCCCACAUACCAUUUGAUACAGGACUUAAUCCAGCUUUAUUAAACUUUUUAGCAAGGGAAGUAAGUAAUAUGCAUGAAAAUGACAAGUAUUGUGCUCUACUUUUUGAUGAAAUGUCUCUGGAUGAUGGUACGUACUAUGAUGCACACAAACAGCUAAUUAUGGGUAUCAGGACUUGGGUCAUUUAGGACGUUCACCUGUAGCUGCUAGUCAAGCAUUGGUUUUUAUGCUGAAAGGCAUUCACAAAACUUUAAAACAAGUUCUAGCAUAUUACUUUACCGCAACCACUUUCCACUAUACCCAUUUGAAAUCACUCAUUGUUCACAUCACAAGUGAACUACAGAAUAUUGGGUUCAAAGUGGUUUGUACUGUAUGUGACCAGAAUGCAACAAACCAAAAGGCCCUUAAGCAACUGUGUGAAGCGAAUUUGUUGAAGCCCAGUAUAUUUCAUUUUGUCGUCAACAAUCAACCAAUUGUUACCAUUUAUGAUGUACCGCAUCUGCUCAAAAACACUAGAAAUGCUUUGAUAGAUAAUAAAAUUCAAUUUGAACCUCACAA